GAGGAGCCUGAGCGUAAUGUUAAUGUUCUGAGUGCUUCUGAAGUGACAGGAAGUGGUGCAUAUGCCCAGGGACAAAGCCAAGUUGAGGAGCAGAACCACAGUAGCUUGAGGAAGGAAUAGGUGAGAGUAGUGAUCCACCUGCCUCGGCCUCCCAAAGUGCUGGGAUUACAGGCGUGAGCCACCGCGUCCAGCCAAUUGGUGGGUUCCUGGUCUCACUGACUUCAAGAAUGAAGCCACGGACCCUCGCAAUGCUGUUACGAACUUCCCUUAGAAUCAACCCAUUUGUGAAACACCACAUUAAUAAGAGCAGUAUCUUUGGAGAUUGGAGAGUCCACCAAGGAUGCCCACUGGCUCCCUACAAAGUUUUUUAUGUGAGGACUCGGUCUCAGGCUCAGAAGUGGAAGAGAUGUGCCUUGACUCAGAUGAGACUUUGGACUUGGACUUUUGAGUUAAUUCUGGAAUGAGUUAAAACUUUAGGGGACUGUUG
This 487-nucleotide long non-coding RNA is filed under the name Homo sapiens (human). RNAcentral describes it as "HSALNT0313285". The record is from RNAcentral. Lineage: Eukaryota; Metazoa; Chordata; Mammalia; Primates; Hominidae.